Chrysemys picta bellii (western painted turtle) is the source of this 75-nucleotide small nucleolar RNA. Ensembl annotates it as small nucleolar RNA, C/D box 19C. Lineage: Eukaryota; Metazoa; Chordata; Testudines; Emydidae. The record is from Ensembl.
GAGAAAUGAGGAUAUAUACUUUUGUCUGACUGUUACAGUGAAGACUUCAGAUCCAACUCUGAUCUCACUCUGUGU